RNAcentral lists this ribosomal RNA (163 nucleotides) under Camellia formosensis. RNAcentral describes it as "Camellia sinensis f. formosensis 5.8S ribosomal RNA". It matches the Rfam family "5.8S ribosomal RNA". Rfam says of the family: 5.8S ribosomal RNA (5.8S rRNA) is a component of the large subunit of the eukaryotic ribosome. It is transcribed by RNA polymerase I as part of the 45S precursor that also contains 18S and 28S rRNA. Lineage: Eukaryota; Viridiplantae; Streptophyta; Magnoliopsida; Ericales; Theaceae. The record is from RNAcentral.
AAACGACUCUCGGCAACGGAUAUCUUGGCUCUCGCAUCGAUGAAGAACGUAGCGAAAUGCGAGACUUGGUGUGAAUUAUAGAAUCUCGCGAACCAUCGAGUUUUUGAACACAAGUUGCGCCCGAAGCCAUUAGGUUGAGGGCACGUCUGCCUGGGCGUCUCAC